AUGGUGGUUUUGUCAGCCGGGAGUCCGAUUUGGUGCGCGGCCCCUUGGGGUGAUUUGAUUCGAUUGUGUUCGAUCUCUCGGGAGCGUGUUUGGUCGUCGCCGUCGCCGCUAGGUUGUUACUUGUUAGGUUAUUCACGUUCUUGGCGAUGCGCACGUAAAAUUAUUUGGUGUUGUAUAGGCAAGAUUAUUCGCUUGUUUGUCGCAUGCUUACAUGUGAGUAUAUUAUCUGAGAAUUACGAGGAUCAGUCGUCCAGUCUCGUGUAUUCAUGUGAGGUUCGAGGUUUAUAUGAUCUCCGAGAUGCCCGAAUCGAUGCGGGGAUUCGACAGCAGUGGCAAUUGUGUACUAGUGAGCUACUAUUUCUUUUCUCACAAGCUGGGCUUUGUAGUUGCUGUUUACUUUGA
This 402-nucleotide ribosomal RNA is filed under the name Triticum aestivum (bread wheat). RNAcentral describes it as "partial small subunit ribosomal RNA". The record is from RNAcentral. Lineage: Eukaryota; Viridiplantae; Streptophyta; Magnoliopsida; Poales; Poaceae.